This is a non-coding RNA of Macaca mulatta (Rhesus monkey), 1774 nucleotides long. The record is from RefSeq and is a predicted model, not a curated record. Lineage: Eukaryota; Metazoa; Chordata; Mammalia; Primates; Cercopithecidae.
CUUGCCUGUAAUAAUCCUAUAUUUCACAGUAAUCCCUAAAUAUUCCUAGAGAAGACUGAGGUGUAAACAGGUAAAAUGAUUGCACAAUCUGAAUGGGUAAAAAGUAGAAGAGAAAGGAUUUUUAUUCUUGUUCUGAUGCCAACUCCCUUGCUUUUGGCAGCAGACUGAUGUGCUUCUCUAUGAAGUGAAAACAGUGACAUUGGCUGGCUGAAUCUGUCUGUUCUGACAGAGCUAAGAGUGGCAGAAAUCUGAAAAUUAGGAUAUGCCUUCAAAAGAUUUACAGAAUGAACAUACAAAUUAUUUCAAGAAGAAGGAAAAUCAUCUAAGAUUCCAGCCUCCUUGAAUUCUAGAAAUCUCUGCUAAUUUCUAACCUGUCUCUUUUGUGUACCUACAGCAACUCAGUGUUUCAUUUUUGAUGGUAAUUCUUUGGUCACCUGCUAUUUGUGCAAUGCACUUUAUUUUGUCUGCUUAUUAUUCAAUGAGUUUUUAAGGAUCGAGUCAUCUUAAUAGUUAUUCAAAGUAGAUUUAGAGAGGCAAGGCCAAAUAUUUCUCCUUUCCUUAACUGGUAGGACUUUAUAAAAAUCUAUUUGACAAUGUUCUCAAUUUUUCUGCUUGUAUUGUGUCCAUAGCUCAAGUCUGGGUAACACAUUGUUUGCUUUUCUUCAAAAUUGUUUGCUUUUCUUCAAAAAGAAACUUCAACAGAGUUUCUGCUGCUACAGAAGGGUUCUACAUUUGUGCUGUCUGAUAUGGUCAUCAUGUGCCACUAUGGAGCACCACCAGCUCUGCAUCAUUUGCUAUGGAGCACUAAAAUAUGGCUCAUGUGACUGGGGAACUGAGUGUUUAAUUUGAACUUAAUUUUAAAUUAAACUAAAUUUCAUAUAAAUUUAAACAGCCAUAUGUGGCUGGUAGCUACCAUGUUGGAUAGUACAGCUAUAGAAAAUGCAUCUCUAAAAUUGAAUAAACCUCCGUUUCCCACAAAACUCCUUGUGGACCUCUCAUUUUAUUGCAUUAUUCAUUUCAUUUUAAAGAAUAUUUCAGAGUAGACUUCUUUUUUUUUUUUUUUUUUUUUUUUCUUGCUUCUUAGAGGUAAACAGAUAAGCAAGCCUUAAUUCAGGGAAGAAAUGCUUUUGCAAAAGCUCAAUAUUUCAGGCCAAAGUGUCCAUUUGUCUUUAGUAAUAUCUGGCUUUGAAAUUUUGUUGCUGUUGGCACUUAAUGAAGGUUUAAUUUCCAUGCUUUGGUGACGGUAUCGAUACACAUUAGCAGUGUGUGCGGUACACACAGCGUCAAGCAAACAGCCACAUGCAUCAAGGUUUGUGCUUAACAGUCCUGCCUCAGGAUCCCUGUGGAUUCCUUGAGUAUCCUUUUAAAGACUCUACUAUCUGUUCUAUGAGAGGAACAGAUGCAUCUUUCUAUAUAGUGCAAUCAGCCAAGUUCAGGAGAGGGAAGGCCAGAUGCUGUUCAUAUUUCUUUCAGAGUGUAGCGUAUAUCAGUGGUACUUAAAACCCAUCUUCUCAACAGCUAGCACCUCUUUUUUAAAAAUUGGUUUCCAUUUUGGCUGUUUGAGAUCAGGAACAAUGGAGCUUUCCUUUGAGGUAAUCUCUUUCAUUGUUUAUUGGCCUUUUUAAGGCAGUGCUUUAAGGUAUACUCGUAUUUUUAUUUUAAAACCUGAUUUUCAGAAGUUUCUAUUUCUAUGAGGAAAACAGCUGUCUUAUCUUUAGUCCUUUGAAAAUGAGACAAUGAUUUUAUAUUAAAGUAAAUACUUUUGCUCACAGUA